GCUUACGGCCACACCGUGGUUCACGCCCGAUCUCGUUUGAUCUCGGAAGCUAAGAUAGGUUGGGCCUGGUUAGUACUUGGAUGGGAGACCGCCUGGGAACCAGGUGCUGUAAAGC
This 115-nucleotide ribosomal RNA is filed under the name Scophthalmus maximus (turbot). The record is from RNAcentral. Lineage: Eukaryota; Metazoa; Chordata; Actinopteri; Pleuronectiformes; Scophthalmidae.